GACGAACGCUAGCGGCGUGCUUAACACAUGCAAGUCGAACGGUAAGGCCCUUCGGGGUACACGAGUGGCGAACGGGUGAGUAACACGUGGGUGAUCUGCCCUGCACUUCGGGAUAAGCCUGGGAGACUGGGUCUAAUACCGGAUAGGACUCCGGACUGCAUGGUCUGGGGUGGAAAGCUUUUGCGGUGUGGAUGGGCCCGCGGCCUAUCUGCUUGUUGGUGGGGUGAUGGCCUACCAAGGCGACGACGGGUAGCCGGCCUGAGAGGGUGACCGGGCACACUGGGGCUGAGAUACGGCCCAGACUCCUACGGGAGGCAGCAGUGGGGAAUAUUGCACAAUGGGCGCAAGCCUGAUGCAGCGACGCCGCGUGAGGGAUGACGGCCUUCGGGUUGUAAACCUCUUUCAGCACCGACGAAGCGCAAGUGACGGUAGGUGCAGAAGAAGGACCGGCCAACUACGUGCCAGCCGCCGCCGUAA
Molecule: ribosomal RNA, 477 nt
Filed under: uncultured bacterium
Lineage: Bacteria
Description: partial 16S ribosomal RNA
Rfam family: Bacterial small subunit ribosomal RNA
Source: RNAcentral